GAUACUGAUAUUAUUACCGAAUAGGUCAUGCAUCAUCAGUUUCUAUUUUAAAAUUCUUUUUCUUUCCAUCCACUUCUCACGAAGAGAAGCAUUGAGGAAACUGAAAAAAAAAUUCAUCAUAUUAAAUAUAAACCUUAACACAUUGGUUCAACGGCUUACAAAUUAAAAAAAAUGAAUUCCAGAAAGAUUGUUCUCGCCCUCAUUCUAGUCUGUGUUUUGGUAUGUGCAUAUUCUGAAGCUGCUGAAGAGAUGCCUGAAACAAUGCAUCAUUCAAGAAAAAAAAGAGCCCUUUUUGGUGAACUCUUCAGUCUUGUUGGUCAGUUCUAUCAGCUUUUCAAAGAUAUGGCUGAUAUUCCGAUAGAUAUUUAUCAAAACACUUUGCAACAAAUAAUUUUUUGACUAUGAAACUACUAGUCAUAAUAUGGUUUAUGGCCAUACUUUGUCUUUUUAUUUAAAUGAAAUUUCAAUUCAGCAAUUCUGUUUCCUUGUUACGCAAGGUCUUGUUUCAAACUCAGAAUGAUUUUCUUUUAUUAAAUAAAUGAUGAAAAAUAAUA
This is a long non-coding RNA of Parasteatoda tepidariorum (common house spider), 554 nucleotides long. The record is from RefSeq and is a predicted model, not a curated record. NCBI's taxonomy places the organism in Eukaryota, Metazoa, Arthropoda, Arachnida, Araneae, Theridiidae.